Non-coding RNA from Osmia lignaria (orchard mason bee), 2623 nucleotides. The record is from RefSeq and is a predicted model, not a curated record. NCBI's taxonomy places the organism in Eukaryota, Metazoa, Arthropoda, Insecta, Hymenoptera, Megachilidae.
UGUUCUUGGUAAUUCGACAAACUUUGAAUUAUGCAGUUUUAUAAGGAAAAACUUUUGUCACCUGGACAAUUGAAACGUCUGAGUGAACACAAGUACAGCUGUACAACGAAUAGCCUUUUGGACGGACUUCUUCAACCGUGGUGGGACUGGCUCGUUAGCAAAGUUCCACUUUGGCUUGCACCUAAUUUAAUCACGAUUUUGGGGCUUAUCGUGAACAUUGUUACCACUUUAAUUCUUAUUUAUUACAGUCCCGAUGCUAAAACCGAGGCACCUAGGUGGGCAUGUUUUUUAUGUGCACUGGGUUUAUUCAUUUAUCAAAGCCUAGAUGCCAUAGAUGGCAAACAGGCAAGAAGAACAGGAACUUCAACACCAUUGGGUGAACUGUUUGAUCACGGAUGUGAUUCUAUAUCAACCGUGUUUGUUGCUCUAUCAGCAUGUAUAGCUGUACAAUUAGGAUAUUAUCCAACAUGGAUGUUUUUCCAAUGUUUCUGUGCAAUGACACUAUUUUAUUGUGCUCAUUGGCAGACCUAUGUUUCAGGUUCAUUAAGAUUUGGCAAGGUUGAUGUUACGGAAGCACAGUUUACUAUUAUAACAAUUCAUCUGAUUUCUGCAAUCUUUGGGCCCAAAAUAUGGAUGAUGGAGAUACCAUACAUAGAUGGUUUUAUGUUUAAGUAUUUAAUAGGAGUUAUGACAGUAAUUUGUGCACUGGCAAACUUAUAUUCCAUCUUUUCGGUGAUUUUCACCGGAGGAGUGGGCAAGAAUGGUUCAACUGUGGCUAUGCCAGUGCUUGGUGUAGGCACGAUCAGUAACUACGUAGCAGUGUUAUUUUAUGCAGGCUACAUUCAUGUAUUCCUUGAAUUCUGUAAAGUGUUUGAAUCUGGUGGGAUUGGAAAGAAUGGUUCCACAAUUGCAGGAACAUCAGUUUUAUCACCAAUUAUUCCAUUUAGCUUUGUGGUAGUACCAGCUUUUAUAAUUUAUAGAAAAAGUGCUGAACAUGUAUAUGAAAAUCAUCCUGCACUGUAUAUACUUGCAUUUGGAAUGGUUGCAGCUAAAGUUACCAAUCGAUUAGUGGUUGCUCAUAUGACAAAAAAUGAAAUGCAAUAUUUAGACAGUUCAUUGAUUGGACCAGCAAUGCUGUUCUUGAAUCAAUAUUUCAAUUUCUUUAUCAAAGAAUAUUAUGUUCUUUGGCUAUGCUUUAUCUGGGUGACUUUGGAUUUAUUCCGAUAUAGUGCUCAAAUAUGCCUUGAGAUUUGCGAUCAUAUGAAGAUCAAACUGUUUAGGAUACCCUUAGGAGAUCAUCGAUCGAGCCAGGUUUCUAAUACAGCUGAAAAAAAUGGUACUAACAGGUCCCAACGUAACAGAUUGCAAAAAAAACAUCAUUAGGAUUUACUUGUGAUAAUAAAUCUGCUGUAUGAUUCACUUUAUGUAUAAAGGAGAGUUAUAAUACAAGAGAUCAUAGAUAUUUGAUAAAUUUUGUUAUUAUGACUGUAUAUAUAAACAAGUGUUCGAAUAGUACAGUUCAUUUAUUAUCACAUUUAUUUGUAAUCAUCGUCGCAUCUGAUUAGUACUGAAUAUAUAAAUAAAAGGUCUCAUCAACAUAUUUGAUUAAAAGUUACUCACUGCUUCUCGUCGAUUGCAGCUAUUUUCUGUUAUCGACGAAAAGAUAUGAACCUAGUGAUCAAAACUAAAUAAAUAGAGCAAUAGAAACAAUACAUAGACACAUGACAAAAAGUAAUGCAUAAUUAUCGAAUACUUGAAUGAAAAGACAUGACAAAUUUUAAGUUUCAUAGUUAAUCUGAUUAAAUCAGUAAAUGUGAAUUUAUUUAUUUUUUAAUGAUUAGUGGACAAAACAUUUGUGUAGUAUAGUGAAAAUUCACUUUAAAUAUCAUAAUUAUUUUGGAAUCUCAAAAGAAAGUUUUUUUAAAUACAGUAUUAAAAAGAAAAUUAUAAAUUAAAUAACUGUUUCUUGUUUAUAAGUUUCAAAUAUUUUUGAAGGUCUCUUUUAUGUACCAUAUUAUAGUCCUGGUUUUCAUCUAGAAUACUUGAAUUUAUUAGAAAAAUAAAACAGUUCUGUUUUAUAACCAACAUGUAUAUAGUUAUAUACUACAAAUAUUUCCAUAGUCAAUUAUAACAUAAACUAUUUAUAGCGUAAGCGAACAACCAAAGAUAGUUACUUUGAGUUCAAGUGACCCUAAUCUACGGUUUUCGGUAUUUUUCUUGCUUAUCUACAAUUUAAUGAGGAAUUGUAAGGAAUUGAAAGAAUGUUGCUGAUUAACAAAUUACGAUAAUUGUGUGUUCUAAUAAUCUCUUUUAUUGAAUAUUUAUUAGUGAACGAAGAAAAUUGUAAACGCAAAUCGUAUAGAGCAUAGGAAAUUUCACAUGAUGGUGGAACAAGAACCUCUGUUAGACGAGGAUUAUCAUCAUGGAUCCGAUACCACCCUCGACCUAUGACGAUUGCAAAAAUAUUUCUCAACGUUCAGAGAUGGACAGGGUGUCAAUAAAAAGUUUCUGCUAAUUGGAAAUUAUUUUUUCCAAUGAAAGACUCGUGUACAACUGGUAUGGUAGCAAGUACAAAAUCUUGGCUGACCUUUGCUCCCUUCUGGAUUGCUUGCAUUUUUUUUUA